AACGAACGCUGGCGGCAUGCCUAACACAUGCAAGUCGAACGAGACCUUUGGGUCUAGUGGCGCACGGGUGCGUAACGCGUGGGAAUCUGCCCUUGGGUUCGGAAUAACAGUGAGAAAUUGCUGCUAAUACCGGAUGAUGUCUUCGGACCAAAGAUUUAUCGCCCAGGGAUGAGCCCGCGUAGGAUUAGCUAGUUGGUGGGGUAAUGGCCUACCAAGGCGACGAUCCUUAGCUGGUCUGAGAGGAUGGUCAGCCACACUGGGACUGAGACACGGCCCAGACUCCUACGGGAGGCAGCAGUGGGGAAUAUUGGACAAUGGGCGCAAGCCUGAUCCAGCAAUGCCGCGUGAGUGAUGAAGGCCUUAGGGUUGUAAAGCUCUUUUACCAGGGAUGAUAAUGACAGUACCUGGAGAAUAAGCUCCGGCUAACUCCGUG
This 433-nucleotide ribosomal RNA is filed under the name uncultured bacterium. RNAcentral's name for it is "partial 16S ribosomal RNA". It matches the Rfam family "Bacterial small subunit ribosomal RNA", at positions 29 to 507 of the family's 1533-position model. The record is from RNAcentral.